RNAcentral lists this unclassified non-coding RNA (145 nucleotides) under soil metagenome. RNAcentral describes it as "partial internal transcribed spacer 1". The record is from RNAcentral.
UAAUAAGUGUUUUAUGGCACUUUUUAAAUCCACAUCCACCUUGUGUGCAAUGUCAGUCGAUCUUCUUCAUGGAGAUCGACCAAACAUCAACCUUUAUCUUUUAACUCUUUGUCUUAAAAAUAUUAUGAAUAAACAAUUCAAAAUA